Molecule: long non-coding RNA, 1232 nt
Filed under: Gossypium barbadense (sea-island cotton)
Lineage: Eukaryota; Viridiplantae; Streptophyta; Magnoliopsida; Malvales; Malvaceae
Description: long non-coding RNA (GBAR_LNC004115)
Source: RNAcentral
AUCAAUUAUAGAGGAAUAUAUGUUUGUUAGCAUCCUCGCAAAUUCAGACUAAUUUAUUAAAGUGACAUAUUUAAUAAAUACGAGAUUUAUUUUACACUUACAUUCAUAAUGUAAAUGAAAAAAAAUUAAAAAAUAUAUGUAGUGGGCCAAAUUUGCCCGGCCCGUUACAAACAAAAAAAUAAUAAAUAACAAAGUCAAAUAAAAUAUAAAAUCCAGACCUUGUAAUAGUCCAAAGUCCAAAACUAUUACAAUAGCCCAAAUAAACCCAGACCCGAUACCCAUUACAAGCCCAAACCCAAAUUAAAUAUAACCCAAAUCAAAGCAAGCCCAAUAAGCCCAUCUCCUUAAUAGCUUUCAGAAAACCCUAGGGCAAAGGGCUCCUUUGCACCGCAACCAGACAGCAGCCCCAGCCUCCAUGCGCCUUCAGUAUCGUACGCGCCAGCUACCUCCGUACGCCGGCGCAUAGCCUCUGUACGCGCUCCAUGCUCACCGUGCCUGCACACCAAACGCAAGAAGACAACAGACGCGAGAAAAUAGUAGAAAAAUUGUAUUUUUUUUAUUAUUUCUUCUCUCGGCUAUAAAGCCUAAAGAGAAUCACCUGUAUUUUUUUUACGCACAAAAAAAACGCAAUAGAAAGCAAUCAAUUAAAAAAAAUAAAGCAAGGUGAUUUUCGAUUCAAAGAUCUCUAAACGCUUUAUUUUCUUUAGUUUUAUUCUGCCGGAUUUUUUAUUCUGAUAUUCGAAAGAAAUAAGAAAAAGGAGAGGGCUUACCUUCGCGUACGAGCCAUCGGAGUCUUCAUCUCCUUCGUUGAUAUCGAAGUUGAAGAUAGGAUUUUGAAGGCAAUAAGACGCCCUUGCGCGCCUUCACCCACUGAUACGGUGGUGGAAUGGUGGUUGAACGGCAGACCGAAUGAGAGUGGGGGGGGGAGAUCUUAAGCCUGUUUGUUUUCUUUUCAAAUGCCCAAGUAUCAGCUUAGGGUUUCCUUAAAUUUUGGUUUUUAUAAAUGAAGGAAACGACGUCGUUUUAGUCCAAUUCCUAUGGCUUCAAAACGGCGCCGUUUAGACCACGCCCAAUUGGAUCCGACCUGAAUACCCUCAGGACCCGCGUGUUUUUAUGGUGAAGGGUUAUUUUCGUGUUUAGUCCUCCCUUUUUGCGCGGUCGUUCAAUCGCAUAUUAUUUUGUUUUAUUUGUUUUUAAAUUUGGCCUGGUAAUUUACGCGUGUUCGCACUUUG